UCAGACGAGCUGCGGCGUGCCUAACACAUGCAAGUCGAACGGAGCUAGAUGCUGAGGACGUAGCUUGCUAUUGAAUCUUGUUUAGCUUAGUGGCGGACGGGUGAGUAACGCGUGAGCAACCUACCUUUCAGAGGGGGAUAACGUUUGGAACGAACGCUAAUACCGCAUGAUAUUAUUGGGCAGCAUUGCCUGAUAAUCAAAGGAGCAAUCCGCUGAAAGAUGGGCUCGCGUCCGAUUAGGUAGUUGGCGGGGUAACGGCCCACCAAGCCGACGAUCGGUAGCCGGACUGAGAGGUUGAACGGCCACAUUGGGACUGAGACACGGCCCAGACUCCUACGGGAGGCAGCAGUGAGGGAUAUUGGUCAAUGGGGGAGACCCUGAACCAGCAACGCCGCGUGAGGGAAGACGGUUUUCGGAUUGUAAACCUCUGUCCUCUGUGAAGAUGAUGACGGUAGCAGAGGAGGAAGCUCCGGCUAACUACGUG
This 484-nucleotide ribosomal RNA is filed under the name uncultured Anaerotruncus sp. RNAcentral describes it as "bacterial SSU rRNA". It matches the Rfam family "Bacterial small subunit ribosomal RNA", at positions 39 to 507 of the family's 1533-position model. Lineage: Bacteria; Bacillati; Bacillota; Clostridia; Eubacteriales; Oscillospiraceae. The record is from RNAcentral.